UCUCGAUUGGUCUAGUGGUCAGGAUACCUGCUUGUCAUUCCAUGAAUUCGAUUCACCCUGUGAAUUUGCCUUCACUAUGGAACAAGCCGCAGGUGGCCGGGGUUCGAUUCCCCGAUCGAGAG
Non-coding RNA from Xylaria acuta, 122 nucleotides. The record is from the annotation of a GenBank genome assembly. Lineage: Eukaryota; Fungi; Ascomycota; Sordariomycetes; Xylariales; Xylariaceae.